This is a long non-coding RNA of Passer domesticus (house sparrow), 473 nucleotides long. RefSeq lists it as uncharacterized. Lineage: Eukaryota; Metazoa; Chordata; Aves; Passeriformes; Passeridae. The record is from RefSeq and is a predicted model, not a curated record. The transcript has 3 exons.
CUUGGCCGUUGUGUUUGCACGCUCUUCACCCUGCUCCUGCCCACUCUGCUUGUCACCUUUCCUCAGUCCUUAAAGAUCCUUAAUGCCUGGAUUUCAUCAUCCAGCCCUGCAGGAUGCUCCCAUUUGUCCUGAUGAAGGCUGUCCCAGACAGAGAGGAGGAGAUGGAGGUAGAUACCAAGAUUGAUACGGAGGAGGAGAUGGAAAUAGACGGAGAAGACGCUGGAGAGGAAGAGAUGGAUGUGGAUGUGGAGGAGGAAGAAGAGAUGGACGUGUAUGUGGAUGAGGAAGAAGAGAUGGAUGUGGAUAUAGAAGAGUCCAUUGAGGACAUGGAUAUUGAUUAAAAAGGUGCGAUGGACAUCAUGGAGAGAGAUGCCAACUUUUUGUACAUACGUUUUACACUUUGAUGUUGACUUUAGGAUAUAGGUUUUAGGGCUUUUUGUCUUCUGUAAAUACGUUUCAUAUAUUUUUUGUUA